UUACAUUGUUGUCACAACAGCAAUGAGAAAGAAAAGAGAGAAGAGAAAAUGGUCAAAGCAAUAAUCUCAAGAAUGUUUCUUUCCUUGGUUAUUAUUUGACAUACAUCCUCCCUUCGCUUUCCCAAUCAAUCCCCUCAAUCUCUAAGCCGGCUUCUCCAUUCUCCAGAUAUAACCGCAGCAAACUGGUCAUGUUCGCAAGUUUUAGAUGAUUUCAAUUCAGUAAGCACAAUCAACAAAACUGAUGACAAUUCCAGAUCGAAGAUCAAUGCAAAUUAACAAAUGAGGUCAAACACAUGUGCUCAGGGAGAUUUACAAUGGGGUCAAAAAUGGUCACAGGUUACAUUUCCCUAAACCAAAUCAUGUGCAUACAGCCUCAAAUCCCUACUCCCACAUUCCUAAACAAUUUUUUCUUACAUUUUGCUGAUCACAAUUUUGAAACAAGACUUGACUAAAUCAAUCUCCCAUCUUCUUUUGUCAGAUGAGCACAAAUUUUUAUUUCUACAUCCAGAGUCCUUGGGUUGAUGACAGACCAACCAAACACCAUUAAUAUUACAGACAGCUUUUCCAUCAUCCCUGUGGCAUUGGAUGGUCAUGCGAAUCUGGUGGAUCUCCAUCUGGUUGAGUUGCAACAUGUAAGAAAAAAAAAAGUCAAUUCAUAGUUGCAACAAAGAAGAAGCAGACAAUCCAAAAGCUCAAGAUAGAAGACCCAUGUUCAUGAUUUUACAAGAUAAGAGACUAGCUACACACUCUGAGCAAAGUUUGUGUUAGCAUUUUUUUUCUUUUUUUUGCGGACGUUUAUGUUUGUAAUGGCCUUUGAUACUAAUCAUCAGAGCACAUAAUUGAAAGCUAGAAAAAAAAAAGAUUAUUCCGA
This is a long non-coding RNA of Raphanus sativus (radish), 871 nucleotides long. RefSeq lists it as uncharacterized. NCBI's taxonomy places the organism in Eukaryota, Viridiplantae, Streptophyta, Magnoliopsida, Brassicales, Brassicaceae. The record is from RefSeq and is a predicted model, not a curated record. The transcript has 3 exons.